This 1558-nucleotide unclassified non-coding RNA is filed under the name Leishmania donovani. RNAcentral's name for it is "gene:LdHU3.34.1550(CDS-product:hypothetical_prote in_conserved)". Lineage: Eukaryota; Euglenozoa; Kinetoplastea; Trypanosomatida; Trypanosomatidae. The record is from RNAcentral.
UGCAUCAGUCUUGUCGGCUUGACUGCUGUGUUUGUCGAGAGUGCUGUCGAUGCGCGUGUGCUCGUGUGCGGAGGUAGUCGCUUGUCUCUCGCCUGUUCUUUGCUUUUUAUGAGAACACGUUUUUCACUUCCCCACUCACGUCACACACCGAUCUCUCUCUCCUCUCACGACGGCCCAAACGCGAGACGGAUCGCCGGCAUCCGACUCUCUGCCACGUCGCAUUCGACUAACUAAGCGACUUUGAGAAGGCGAAAAGCACGCAGGGGCGCAGACACGCAUACACAUAGGCGGCGUCAUCACAGGGAGUACAGAACUUCAUUGUCUCAAGCAAGCGUACGCGAGCCACAGCAAAGCAGAACAAGAACAAAAAGAAAAGAUGGGUCAAUCCAACGGCGCAGCGCUCGCCAAGGACACCAUCGCGUCUGAGCAGUUCCUCAAGUACCAAGAGGCGCGCCACCGCAUCGUGCACCGCGCCUUUGUGAAGUGUGUCGUGCCAUCUUCGAAGGGCAAGGAUGACGGGUACGACCUCACACCAGAGGAGCGCAUGUGUGUGGAGGAGUUCGCCAUUCUCUACGCCGGAUUCGCCAAGAAGGAGUUUCUGCACUUUAGUAGCCUGUAUGAGCAGUACCAGCGCGACCAGUACGAGAAGAUGCGGUUGGAGGUGAUGCAGCAGCAGGCCCGCAAAGACAUCCAGCAUUGAUGUCUGCGGCCCUGAGUGGCACGGAUGCAAGGCAGGGCCGGUGAGAGUAGAAGCGUUCACACUUCUUUCCUCAUGCCUCUCAAAUUCUUGGGCUUGCCGAUGCGUGAGCUUGCGUUCGGGUGCACCACCUGAUCUUUAGUGCCGUUUUCCGGCAGCGCUGUGCUGGGUAUGGAGAGGUUGCCUCCCCUCGGUGAUGACCCACGCAGACGGACACGGCCGCAAACUGCAGUGGAUGGUUGGCUGCUGUCUCCCCGCGCCUUUCGCGCUUCAUCAGCUGCCUCACAGUUUCUUCCCGUUGCUCCGUGGCGUUUUGUUUUUGUUGUAUGUAGCCUGGCCGUGUUUCACAUCAUCAUCAUCAAGCUCCUCUCGCCGGAGUUCACUUACUGUGUGCCUAGUUCAUGUAAGCAUCGGACAUAUGAGGCGUUGAAAGGGCCACAUAAGAGCCAAAAAAAAAGAGGGAAAACAAGAAGUAAGCUGGAGCGAGGGUCAGGGUCGAUGCGCCACGCAAUACAUGCGGACGCGGUGUGCGUGUGUGUGUGUUUGUGUGCACCGCAUGCGGCUUUAAGCAUACACACACACACAACGCAGGAUGGAGAGGCGCUUCGUGGCAAACCGUUGCCAAGACGCAUUUCUCUUCCUCUCUGCUUGGAAGGUCGGCGUGUGCUCUCGCGCCUUGGCGCACGCGUUUGCAUGCGUGCGUCCCCCACUAUCUGAGCGCAAGCUUCCGCGUCUGUCCCUCAUUGAGAGACGAAAAAGAAGGGAGCCUGCACGCUGCACAAGUGGUAGGUAAUCUCUCCUGCCAACGAAUCAGACAACGACGUAGGGGGAGGGGGCUGUGUAUACGCAGCCUUACGUGUG